AUCCAGACUCCUACGGGAGGCAGCAGUGGGGGAUAUUACACAAUGGGGGAAACCCUGAUGCAGCGACGCCGCGUGGGCGAAGAAGUAUUUCGGUAUGUAAAGCCCUAUCAGCAGGGAAGAAGAAAUGACGGUACCUGAGUAAGAAGCACCGGCUAAAUACGUGCCAGCAGCCGCGGUAAUACGUAGGGGGCAAGCGUUAUCCGGAUUUACUGGGUGUAAAGGGGGCGCGGACGGCGAUGCAAGCCAGGAGUGAAAGCCCGGGGCCCAACCCCGGGACUGCUCUUGGAACUGCGUGGCUGGAGUGCAGGAGGGGCAGGCGGAAUUCCUGGUGUAGCGGUGAAAUGCGUAGAUAUCAGGAGGAACACCGGUGGCGAAGGCGGCCUGCUGGACUGCAACUGACGUUGAGGCCCGAAAGCGUGGGGAGCAAACAGGAUUAGAUACCCCUGUAU
Molecule: ribosomal RNA, 449 nt
Filed under: uncultured bacterium
Lineage: Bacteria
Description: bacterial SSU rRNA
Rfam family: Bacterial small subunit ribosomal RNA
Source: RNAcentral